GUAAGGAAUAUUGGUCAAUGGACGAAAGUCUGAACCAGCCAUGCCGCGUGGAGGAUGAAGGUCCUCUGGAUUGUAAACUUCUUUUAUAUGGGACGAAAAUGGGGCUUUCUAGCUCAACUGACGGUACCAUAUGAAUAAGCACCGGCUAACUCCGUGCCAGCAGCCGCGGUAAUACGGAGGGUGCAAGCGUUAUCCGGAUUCACUGGGUUUAAAGGGUGCGUAGGUGGAUUGGUAAGUCAGAGGUGAAAUCUCCGGGCUCAACUCGGAAACUGCCUUUGAUACUAUCAAUCUUGAAUAUUGUGGAGGUUAGCGGAAUAUGUCAUGUAGCGGUGAAAUGCUUAGAUAUGACAUAGAACACCAAUUGCGAAGGCAGCUGGCUACACAUAUAUUGACACUGAGGCACGAAAGCGUGGGUAGCGAACAGGAUUAGAUACCCCUGUAGUCC
This 445-nucleotide ribosomal RNA is filed under the name uncultured bacterium. RNAcentral describes it as "partial 16S ribosomal RNA". It matches the Rfam family "Bacterial small subunit ribosomal RNA", at positions 354 to 796 of the family's 1533-position model. The record is from RNAcentral.